GGGGUUGUAGCUCAGUGGUAGAGCGCUUGCUGUGAAGGCGUGAGGCACUCGGUUCGAUCCUCAGCACCA
Molecule: transfer RNA, 69 nt
Filed under: Marmota monax (woodchuck)
Lineage: Eukaryota; Metazoa; Chordata; Mammalia; Rodentia; Sciuridae
Description: tRNA.Undet
Source: RNAcentral